Molecule: small nucleolar RNA, 89 nt
Organism: Syzygium oleosum
Lineage: Eukaryota; Viridiplantae; Streptophyta; Magnoliopsida; Myrtales; Myrtaceae
Product: small nucleolar RNA Z102/R77
Exons: 1
Source: RefSeq, a predicted model, not a curated record
GGUUAAUAUGAUUUUAUUCAAUUUGAUGUCCUAAUGACCUGAUUAGGCAAAAUUGAUGCCAAAAUUGAAUUACCCACAUCUGAUUAACC